RNAcentral lists this small RNA (643 nucleotides) under Histoplasma capsulatum. Its description in RNAcentral is "hypothetical RNA". RNAcentral also lists the same sequence under 1 other name. Lineage: Eukaryota; Fungi; Ascomycota; Eurotiomycetes; Onygenales; Ajellomycetaceae. The record is from RNAcentral.
AGGGGGAAUUCGGAUAUUUGCCAAGGACUUCUUGAGCCUGCCCAGGAUUCAAAUUUGAAGCCAUGCUAAGACAAGUACCUAGGGUAUUCAACUCUAGCCAGAGGUGAUUUCAUUCCAUGUCAAACACACCGGCUUCUCACCAUCACUUCAAGAAGGGUAGAAUUGGAGAAUGGGGGUUAGAAAUUGGAGGGUUUGUUAGGGAAAAAUAGAGCCUAAGAAACAUAGAAAAAAAAACCAAUCCCCCAGAGAAUGAUGAAUAGUGACUGGUAGUUACACAAUUCCACAUGUGCAGAGCAACGGCUGGCUGCAGAAGAGCAGGCUGGCUGCAGCCAUCCGUGGACUGGGUACGGGGCAGGUAACGAGGGCGGAGAACUGUGGGCGGCGGCAUCGGCAGCGGGCAUACAUCAACCAGUUCGCGGUAUACGGUAUACGGAUCUGUACAUGAACGGGGACGAUAGAUUAUAUUGUGCCGAUGAUGGACGGGCAUAUCACAUGAUUCCGCCCAGACCGGCUCUGCCAAGACCCACAGACCGUCUUGGCAUCGGCGAUGAAAUGCCAAGACAGGCGCCAAGAUCUCCGCCAAGACCGGACUCGUAUUUGGGCGGUUGGUCCGGUAUUGGUAAUGUCGCCGAUUAUUUGCGGU